UGCAAUUCAUCAAACAUGUAUUGAGCACCUUGCUCUAUGGAACAUGGUGUGAUAUGCUGCAGGAAGCUGCUCUAUGGAACAUGGUGUGAUAUGCUGCAGGAAGCUGAUCAAUGGCCACACCAAGAUAGCAAGUCCUAGCCGGGAGCCAGGAGGCACACCUAUAAUCCCAGCUACUCUGGAGGCAGGGGCAAGAGGAUCACAGGUGAGUUGGAGACCAGCUUGGGUAACUUAGCGAGAUCCUGUCUCUAAUAAAAUUUUAAAAGUGCUGGGCAUGUGGCUCAGGUAGAGCACUUGCCUAACAUGCACAAGGCUCUGGGUUCAACCCCCAGUGGUCCCCCUCCCCCACAAUAGACAUCAGGUCCUAAUUCUCAAAGCCUGUGAGAGUCACUUUAGAUGGCAAAUUAAGGAUUAAAUUAAGGAUCUUAAAAUAUGAUCAUCUGGAUUAUUAUCCAAGUGAACCUGAUGUCAUCACAAGGGUUCUUACAGAAGAUUUAAAGAUGUCGUGCUAUCUCUGAAGAUGGAAAAGGGGACCACUAGCCAAGGAGUGCAGUUCUAGAAGCUGGAAAGGUCCAACAACAGGGUUCUCCCCUACAGCCUCCAAAAUAAAUGACCCUGCCACACCUUGGUUUUAGCCCCUAAAAGGCCCAUUUCAGAUUUCUGAACUCCAGAACUAUAAUAAACUGUCUCGUUUUUCACACAGUGUGUGGGCAAAUAAAUACACACACGUCCCCGUUCCUCUUCAUGCUGUUUCUCACCUUGCACAUGCAGGGAAGCAGGUGCACAGAGGUGAGUAUGUGCCUGUGGUCUUUUUUUUUUUAUGUGCCUGUGGUAUUGAGGAGUGAGCGCCUGUAGCCACCCAUGUACCACUUCUGAUGUUAUUUUCACAAGUAGGCACAUGUGAUUCAUUCCUUCAAUAAAUAUGUACUGAAUAUCUGCUCUGUGCCUGGCAUAGUGCUGGCUGUGAGAACAAAGAGAUGAGCCUAACAGAUUAUCGUGGCAUUUCUAUUCUGGCAAGGGGGCAGGGGUAGGAAGGUGUACAGAAAUCCAGUACUCUUUCAUGCUUUUAAUCACAGUGAACCCAGGGCUGGGGAUAUGGAUCAGUAGUAGAAUGCUUGCCUAGCAUGUACCUGGCCCUGGGUUCUAUCCCCAACACCACAAAAAGCAAAACAAAAUAAUCAUAAUCACAGUGAACCCCCUUCUCUGAAUAAGAUUGAGUUUUAGAGGCAAUAGUUAGGUAAGAAGAGCAUUAUCAUUCAAAAUUACAUUUAAAAACCUUAAAUUAGAUAUACAGAAACUAGGGUUGUAGUUCAGUAGUAGAGCACAUGUUUAGCAUGCACAAAGCCCUAAAUUUAAUCCCUAUCACCAAAAAGAAAAAUAAAGAAAGAAAAUAGACUAUAUAUACUGCACAAUAAUAAUUUUUUUUUAACUGGGGAUUAAACCCAGAGGUGCUUUUUCCACUGAGCCACUCCCCAUCCCUUUUAUUUUGAGAGAGGUUCUCCUUAAAUUACUUGUUAAGUUGCUGAGGCUGGCCUCCAACUUGUGAUCCUCCUGCCUCAGCUUCCCAAAUCACCAGGAUUACAGGUGUGCACCACCACACCCAGCACAAUAACUCUUUUGUAUGUUCAUGUUUGAGAAGCAGUGAUCUGGGCUGAAAGAACUGACUCCAGAUAAGGCUAUCUCUAGAUACCUGGACACUGCAACCACUUUGCCUUUAAGAAAGCAACCCCAUCUCUAGGGACAAAUUGAGAUUGGGCAGAGAAUGGGAGUGUUCCUGGAGUCUGUAGGUCUGACUCUAAUCUAGUUUUAUAUUAAGCAUUCAUCAUCUUAGUGUGUGUUAAAAGAUUAGUUCAGUUUUAUGAGGAUAAUACCAAAUUCUGAAGUGGCAUCUUUGGAGGUCAGUGGGUGGAGGAUAAAUUUUAAAGCUUGUAUUAGUUCAACAUGCCUCUGAUGUGAGUCCAUAAAGCAAAUUGGGCCAGUGUGUUGUCCAUAGAGCAAACUGGGCCAGAGCUGGUAGGGGAACUUGGAACCUCAGAAGAGGGCUUCCCAGAGAAAGUGACAUUGAACUUCAAUGAGGACAGCUGGGCGUUAGCCAGGUAAAACAAUUGAGGGGGAGAAUAUUCUGGGCAUACCUGUCUUCUCAGCAAGUGCCUGGAGUCAAGACCUCAUCUAUGCCAAAGAGUGAUACCCACAUUCCCCUUGCUGUCCAGAGGUAUGCUAGCUAGGACUCUCUGCUUUAACCCCCAGGACCUCUGGAAGACCUACGCGCUUCUUUACUUCCUAAGAAAGGCUGGGGAUUUCUUCAGACUCAGGAUUUCUUGUUCAUCCACUGCUUUUGCCUCAGGCACUUUUUGUGUUCUGGAAUGGUGUGGUGAGGCUGUGGGGAGACCAGUCCUUUUCGGGAGACCAAUCUGCUCUGGGUUGGACUUGCUGUUUGACUGUAGGCCAGGCACCUCUCUCUGGGACUUGACUUGUCCAUCUGUAAAGUGGGAGUCGAGCCCUUGCAGCUUGCUUUGACAUGCUCUGUCAGGACUAUGCAGCACCCUGUAGUGGUUAAACCCCUGGCCCUGGGUUCGAACCCUGCUUCCACCAUUUAUGGGAUCUUGGGCAAAUCAUUUCUCCUCCCUGAGGCUCCAUUUCCACAUCUAUAUACUAGUGGCCUUUGCUCCCCUCCCUCUGGAUUGUAUGAGGAUUAAAUGAGAUCAUGGAUAUGAAGCAUCUGAUGCUGUGCCAGGCCCAGUUAAUGACAGCUGCUGUCAUUAAAUUUUGUAAUGGAUGUGAAAUGGAACAUGUUAGCUCUGCUGAUUGCUACGAAACACACCACCACCCUCAGGGCUUACCAUCAGCGCAAUCUCCACAAACAGCAUCAGAAGGUUUUCUGACGGGUGGCCAGGGAAACACCCAGAGCUGCGUGGCUUCGCUUUGGCAGCAACUGAGGAAACUCCCCAUAGGGAAACAUCUGCCGGGUAGGCGGUAACUGUGCUAACUUGUGGGUAUGAGGACGAUUCCCAGACUCGACCUGCAAGGGUAGCCUGGGAUAGAGACUGGGUGGCCAGACUUCAGGGGAGGAGUGGAAAUGUCUCUUGCCUUUAACUGGUAACCAGAUCCGAAACAGCCUGGGGCAGGAUGGACAUAACUGAGUCUUCUCUCAUUGGUCAGCUGUCUGGGAGCCUCUGGCUGUGCCCCCUGUCAUUCUGACCACCUAAUGUCAACUCAUCUUGCAACUAAUACAGUCUGAUUGUUCUUCCCCUCCCCCACCCCAUGCUGGGGACUGAACCCAGGGCCUCACACAUGCUGGGCAAGUGCUGUACAUCCCCAGCCUGGUCUGACUGCCCUUUAUCCAACUGAAGCCCAGAGAGAGGCAGGGAUGUGUGCAUGAUCACACGACAAAUCAGAGCCAGAAUCUAGGUCUUUAGGCCUCAGAUCCACCUAUCUGUCAGCACCAGGCAGCCUCUUUGAUUCUGUUAAGUGAGUGGUUGGUUGUUGCCUAGCAACCAGUCACCCCAGAUGUUUUCUAUCUCCACAUUUCCUUGGGAAUCAGACCACCCAGUGACAGUUGGGCUCAGAUGUCAGAGAGAAAAUGUCUCUGGUCUAAGGGGCAGUAUAGAAGAGGGCUGCUUGUGUUAAGUAGUGACCCAGGCAAGACACAGUCCAUUCCUCUGGGUCCUGGAGCUCUCCCAGGCAGCCCAGAACCAUUUAUCUUUCUGGCUUAGAGACCAGAUUCACAUGAUCCCUCUCUCCAGGCAGAGCUAUGGCCUGUCAUCACAGAUAGCAGCAAGUGCUGGAGGAGGAAACCCUCUCUGGGCCUUUUAGUCAUCACAGGAGGCACUUUGGGAGAAUAAUUUGAAGUCACACCCAUGGCUGAACCCUGGCUUUGUCACUCAUUGGCUAUGUGACUUUGGUCAAGCCACCCUGCCUCUGAAUUGGCUCCCACAUCUGUAGAAUGCAAUUAUUAUCUACAAUAUGCACAGAGUUAUUGAGAUAAUGAUAUAAAGUACCAGACAGAAAAAAAAGAAGUUACUUUAUUAAUAUCUGUAUCAGUCAGAUAUUUCCAUUGCAAGAGACAGACUCCACUCUAGGUUGGUUACUGAAAAGAGCCAGAGGAGAAGACUGGAAAGCUACACGGCCAGGAACCAUAUUUCCAAAAGGCCAUCCCAGUGCCGGUCCUAGAGCCCUCACCUUCCAGCACACAGCACCAUGAUAGCCCUUGUCCUCCUCUUUUCCUUUUUGGAAUCUGGCUCCCAUGGCUGGGCUGCACAGGGAAAGUGCGUGUACACACGGUACUGCUUGGAGUGCUUACGACCCUUGGAGAACAAUAUGAUUAUUAUGCCAAUGUACAGAUUUGGAAACUGAGGCACAGAGCUGUUUUUUUUUUUUUUUUUUCCUAAUUUUUCUAAGAUUACACCAGCUAGUAAGUAGAAUCAGAACCGGAACCCAUGCAGUCUGGCUCUGUAACCUGUACUCCUAACUACUAUCUCUAUUUCUAAUGUCCUGGACUGGAACUCCAAAUGCAUCCCCCUGAGAAAUAGUGUUUAACAUGAUGGGCAGGUUCUAUCAUAAAUAUGACUAAGUGGACAAAUAUGCUUAAUUCAUUAAUUCAACUUCAAGUGCCUUCUAUGGCCCAGGCUCUGUAAUCAACAUCGAACAAGACUACCAUGGUCUUAAAGAACACAGGACUAGAAGAGAAAACAAAUAAGAAAUAAGCAAACACCCAAAUAAAUAAAAUACUUAAAAAAUUACAGUAUGGACAGAAACCAUGACAGAAACACAAAGCGUGGUAUGAGAAGGAUGGCUGUGGUAUCCCUGGGGGUCCAGGGGACUCUCCUCAGCUCAUUCUGUCCAGCCACACUGGCCUUCUUGCUACUCUUUGAAACCACCAAGCAUACUUAGAGCUGUUCCUUCUGCUUAAAAAAAAGUCUCCCCACUUACCUGUAUGGCUAAUCCCCUCGAAUAUCACCUACUCAGGGAGAUCUUCCCUGAUACCACUAUUUGAUUGUUUUUUGUAGUGCUUGGACUCAAACCCAGGGCCUUGAGCAUGCUCAGCAAGCAGCUCUACCACUGAGCAGCACCCAGCCCCCAGUACUACUACUGGAACUGCAGCCUCCUCUUCUCCUUUCUGCAUGAGCACUCCUAUCUGAUCACCCUGCUUUAUGUUUAUUUUUUUCCAUAGCCUUAUCACUUUCUAACAUUAUUCAUCUAUUUAUUAUGUUUACGAUUUGUCUGCUUCACCUUGUAGAAUAGAAUGUAAAUAUCAAGAGAGCAGAGAUCCUUGUUCUGUUCACUGAAUGGUGAAUGUAGUGAAUAGUAGGUGCUCAGAAAAACUUAUUUAAAUGAAUGUAAAUCCCUUCCCUGGGAUCACACAAUUGGGAAGUGGCACGGCGAUGAUUUGAAUCCAGUGUAAUUUGGCUCCAAAGAUACACAAUUUUCUUUCUAGGGCUACUGUGGGGCUCAAAAAGGUUCCUUCAGCCACUUAGCACAGUGCCUGGUACAAACAUUAAAUACUGAGAUGUGGUUAUUAAUAUUGGGGGGAGGAGCUUCUCUCCUCCUGGGUUUUUUUUUUUCCCUAAAUUCCUUAGUUUAGUCAGCAGUCAGCUCUUUGCUGUGGGACCUCAAGCCUGACUUGGCAGAAACAGCGACAUGACCCUCUGGAAGGAAAACUGCUGAUGGGACAGCACAAGUAGCAGGCAGUCCUGCCCACCUAUCACACCCUCUCCACGCCCUGCCCACUUAUAACUGACCUGAGUCGCUCACCCACAGGGAUUGCAAACACAGACUUCCUGUGUCUUGAGAAAGGGGAAAUCCAGCCAGCGAUUUACGGUGAGUCAUUUGUUUCGUGAAGGAAGCCUCAGCAGUUGGCAGAAGGUAGAAGCAGGGGAGAGCUGCCCAAGAAGAGAAAGGAGACCAGAAGCUGCAACUUCGGCUUACUACACUGAGCAGAUCGCCUUCCUGGCCUUAAUUUUCUCAUCUGGAAAAUGGGACAAGGAUCUUCACCUCUAGAUAGUUCUACUAAUAUUAUUGAGCACCUGUGUGUGUGACCAUUUGAGAAUAAGCAUCAUUCAACUGGAGGGGCUUGCAAUGGCCACCAAGUCCAGGUGUUAAAAGUAUAAACUAUGCCUGGCAUGAUGGUGCACACCUGUAAUGCCAGCUACUCAGGAGGCUGAGGCAGGAGGACGACGAUUUUGAGUGCACUUAGUGAGAUCCUGUCUCAAAAAACUGAAAGGGCUGGGGAUGUGACAGAGCACCCCUGGUUUCAAUCCCCAGUGCUGCCAAACAUAAACGAAAAGUACACAAGACUAUGAAGUCACUCAGUUCUGGAUUCAAAUCUAGCCUAAUCACUUUCUAGCUGUGUGUCCCUGGGCAGGUAAUGAAACCUCUGUGUAUCUUGCUUUCUUACCUAUAAAAUAUGCCAUUGGUUACUUCUGUGAAAUAACAGCUUAUCAUCGGUGAGAUCAGAUGUUCUCUCAGGAAUGGUGGCUUUUCUUCAAUCUUUGAUGACCUCACUUGCUCACCGCCCUGUGUGUUGUCUUGUUCAGUCCUGGCCCUGCGCAGGAGAGAGCCCCUCCUGAGAGUGCUUCUAACAAUAAUUAUUAAAAUCGAGAAUUACUUUACUCAUUUAUUUUCACUGAUGACACAAGUAAUAAGUUUAUGGUAGAAAAAAAUUAAGCAAAUAUAAAUAAAAACAAAACAAAGAUUACACAUCACUUCACCACCUAGAGAUAACCGCUACUGACAGCUGCACUCGCCUUCCGCAGGCAUUUCUUUUUAAAUGCAUAUGUAACAGGGUGUAAAAUGCAAGUUUCCUCUCUUUUUGGCUUGGGGGCAGAGGCUAGAAGUGCCAAGGACUUCCGCAUCCCAAAUUAAGGUGCUAGACCACCCGGGGCAUGCUGAAGGAUGAAGAAAGCAGAAACCAGUUCUACCAGCAUUGAAAUGCAUCACCCACCCUGUGUGUGUGUGUGUGUGUGUGUGAGAGAGAGAGUGUGUGAGAGAGAGAGAGAGAGAGAGAGAGAGAGAGAGAGAGAGAGAGAGAGAGAGAGAGAGAGAGAGAGAGAGAGAGAGCACUAGCAUGAGAGUGAGCAGUUGAGAGGGAUUUCUUUUGGAAAGAACUGCUGAUUGCGGCAGUGUCUCACUGUAACACCCCUUACACCCCACACAGUGUGAGGGUACUUCAGCCUCACUUUAGGGAACUGGGACUUGGAGGGAUCUGUGGACCAAGGAGACAGUUGAAUCUAAAGCAAUGGCCCAGGGCUGGGGAAUACUCAUGGUAGAGCGUUUGCCCAGCAUGUUCAAGGCCCUAGGUUCCAUCCCAGCACUGCAAAAACAAAAAAUAAAUAUGUAUAAAAUAAAUUAGUUCAGUAAAGCGAUGACCCACUCUUCUAUCAACUGCAUUUCCCCAGCAGAGAGCUUGUCAUGCUAAAAUGUCAAAGUCCACUGAGUUGACUGCCUCCCUGACUAAAGGAGAAGCAUCUUGCUGACAAGAGUCUUGGCCAUGUCUCCCCUGUCCCUUGCAGAAGGCCUGUUCCAGUGAAUGAAGGGAAGACUGAAGAAGUUGUGGAGUGCAAAGGAGGAAGACCAAGGAUUUCAGAACCACACAGAUCUUAGUUCAAUGCCGCCUUUGCCAUUUUCUAGCUGGGCUCCCCUUGGGGAAGUCGCAUCAUGUCUCUAACCUCAUUUUUUGCACUUGGAAAAUGAGGACAAUCUGAGCAUCUGAUUUGCAGAGUUGUAAAUGAAAGGAGAUCAAGCCAGGCAUGGGGGCCCUUGCCUGUAAUCCCAUUUGCUCAGGAGGCUGAGGCAGAAAGAUUAAAACCCAGCCUCAGCAAAAGCAAGGUGCUAAGCAACUCAGUGAGACCAAAACAGAUUUUGGGAUAUGGCUCAGUGGUAGAGUGCCCCUGAGUUCAAUCCCCUAUACCCGCCCCCCCAAAAAGGAGAUCAAGCAGUACAUAGUAGGUGUUCCAUCAGUGAAGACUGAAUUAUGGGCUGGGGAUGUGGCUCAGAGGAAGAGCUCCUGUCUAGUAUGCAUAAGGCCCUGGGUUCCAACCCCAGUAUGGUGGGGGGAGCCAGGUGUGAUUGCCUACACCUAUAAAAUCACAGUGACUUGGGAGGUUGAGGCAGGAGGAUUUCAAUUUUGAGGCCAGCCCUGUCUCAAAAUAAAAACUAAAAAAGAUUGGAGAUGCACUUGGUGGCAAAGAGUCUCUG
This 8190-nucleotide long non-coding RNA is filed under the name Marmota monax (woodchuck). The stretch from base 268 to 337 matches the Rfam family "tRNA". Lineage: Eukaryota; Metazoa; Chordata; Mammalia; Rodentia; Sciuridae. The record is from RNAcentral.